UAGCAAACUAGUAAGCCAAUUGGAAAACAGACUAGAUUUACAGAAAGGGACAAUAUGACCCAAGCUUUCAAUGAAGAAAGAAGAAAAGUGCAUGAAAUUGCCUGUGGUCAUCUAAAAAAGGUUCCCCACUCACCAUGCAAUUGGAACUUCAGAGGAAGAAGCUGGAGGAGAGGGAGCCAGAGUUGGGAGAAAAUGAGAAUUCAUGGCUCUACCGUGAGAAAAAUCAGAAUGCAAUAGCAACCUUGAAAUUAAAGAGAGCAGAUGAAAAGAUGUUACUCUUGGCAGAAGAAAAAGGGGCUGCUCUUUAUUGUGUAAUGGAGUAAUAACUUGGGCAAUUUGAACAUAUGGUCUUCAGAUCACCCUUUUUCCUUAGAUAGCUACCAACAAUAUUGUUUGUGUCGUGAUCAUCCUUUCGAGCCAUCCAACCAUAUAGCUUCUCUAUAUUCUUUCCAUCCCGCAAGUAGUUUCUCUUUCCUUGAUGUCGACCCUCAUAAGCCUUUCUCGAACUUGAAGGCAUCAGCUAGCUAGUCCGAGCCACUGAGGAUUAAACUCUAUUAUUGUGAACCUGGAGUGACCUUCUUUACUCCACAAAGGGGAUACCUUCACAGGAUCAAACCCCUCCCUUUUUAGCAUAUCUUUAAGAGUUGAGCCACUCGGUCCAACAAGACGCCCAUCAUCCAAAUGAACGGGGGACAUUUGCUAAAAUUUCCAUCCAUGGACACACGUAGAAUUUAUCGUUGUCAUGACUCUCAGUAGUAUCCCCUUUUGAUAAGUUAGAUAUGUAUGACAUCAUUCCCUUUAUUCCAAUAUCUUUUUGUUAUUGGAUCUGUGCUAUUGUGUAUGUGUAAG
This is a long non-coding RNA of Salvia hispanica, 849 nucleotides long. RefSeq lists it as uncharacterized. NCBI's taxonomy places the organism in Eukaryota, Viridiplantae, Streptophyta, Magnoliopsida, Lamiales, Lamiaceae. The record is from RefSeq and is a predicted model, not a curated record.